Schizosaccharomyces pombe (fission yeast) is the source of this 371-nucleotide non-coding RNA. NCBI's taxonomy places the organism in Eukaryota, Fungi, Ascomycota, Schizosaccharomycetes, Schizosaccharomycetales, Schizosaccharomycetaceae. The record is from the annotation of a GenBank genome assembly.
CAAAUUUAAUGGAAUUUUUUUUAUUUACUGGAUGUAUGAAUCGUUUUAAUUAUUCAUUGUUUGUGUAUCUGGUAUGAAUCGAGUACGAAAUUAACGAUCAUAAAAUCGUCGACACAAGAACGUAAAGUCUACCCCCUGCUUUUAUUACUUGCCUAUGAUCAGUUGAAAUGAAGCUUUGUUUUCAUUUUUAGCAUCACCAAUAAGUUAGAAUUGACUACUGUUUACCAACAACAAUUAGUUAAAUAGUUAUUGACUAUAACAUUGAUCCAUACGCACAAUUACUUCGAAAAAAAUUAUUAUUUUGCUCUUCCAACUUAACGAUUUUCUGUACUGCGUUAACAUAUUAUUGUAGGCUUGACACUCAGCUGCGG